Molecule: long non-coding RNA, 24258 nt
Filed under: Durio zibethinus
Lineage: Eukaryota; Viridiplantae; Streptophyta; Magnoliopsida; Malvales; Malvaceae
Description: long non-coding RNA (DZIB_LNC000437)
Rfam family: Eukaryotic small subunit ribosomal RNA (bases 6271-8064)
Source: RNAcentral
UAUAUUUCAUGAUUUUUGGAAUUUUUCACAAUUUGGGAUUUUGUGAAAAUUUUUUAGUAGUUUUUGGUUCCAAAUUUCAUUUACGUGAUCCAUGUAUUUUUUUUUUUUGGCAUCUACAAAAAAAUUUUGCUAAAAAAUCAAAGUGUAAAAGAAUUUGUGGCCAUUUGAAAAAAGUAUCCUUAUUUUAGACACAUGAAUGGCUACCACCUGUGAACUUGUAAAAGCUCUUAUACUCUUUAAAGGGGUGUGAGUUGUUGAGGUUUCUUUGGGGAUAGGGGGCCAAAUAAGGGCUAAAGACUAGCACCCAUCACCCAUCAUGCGCACACACCCAUCAGCCUCCUCUCCCAAUUAUUGGAACCCCUAAUACCACCAGUCAGAUUCUUUAACGAAGCUCCGACAAUGGUGCCCUAGGUAAAAAAAAUGUAGAACUAGCACAUGCCAAAGCCCAACAUAUGCAUCAUGGCCUAGAAUUAAACUUCAGCCAUGACCUCGACCAUCAUCGGUACAUGUUAGUGCAUGGUGUGGGCAUAUGCCUUGACCAUUAUCGGCACAAGUUGGCCUUGAGUAUUGACAUUUGCCUCGACCAUCAUCAGCACAAGCUAGCCUUUAGUAUGGGCACUUGCCUCAACAACUAUCGACACAUGAUAGCUAUAGGUAUAGGCACAUGCCUUAGUCAACAUUAACAGAAGAUGGCCCUUGGUGCGAGCAGUUGCCCUAAACACCAUCGAUACAUGUUAGCCCUUGCUAUGGGCAUUUGCCUCAAAGACCAUUGGUAAAUGCUAGGCCCUUGCUACGGGCACAUGCCUCGACCACCAUCAGCACCCGCAGACCCUUCGUGCAGGAUAGGCCUAUUUGAAAAAAAUGUCUCCAUUUCAAAUACUUUAAUGUCUACUGCUAGUAUAUUUGUAAAAUCUCUUAUGCUUUAUAGGGGGUGGUUGUCCAAGUCCCCCUUCCCCCCACAGUAGGAGUAGGUGUGCAUGAUGGAGCUAUCAUUGCAUACAUCCAUAGCAAUGUCUUUAAAGCAAAAUUCAGACUAUGCAUGCCUUCUGGCUGUGUUAUCCGGUGAUUGGUUACUCUAAUGACCCAUAAAUUCUCAUGUCCUCGACUAGUUGGCGUGUAUGUAGAAAAAAGGCUCAGUAGUGUUGAGCUCAAGCCCAUGUGUCAUGGGUCACACAUUCCUUACACUGAAACCACUCAUUCAUGUAGCACCAAGACUACUUUUAGUCAAAGUCAACCUUUCUCGAGUCUAUUUCUCCAUCGGUAAAUCAUUUCUGAUCAUUCAAGCUAUAUACUCUGAGCUUUUCUUGGCUCUAACCCCAAAAGGUCAUAUAUUCCCAAACUUGAUAGGGAGGAACCCAAUUCCCAUCAUUAUAAUCAACUGACGAUUCUUAGGGUGGCCCCAAACAACCAUCUCUACCCAUAGGCAUCAAGACCUUGAGCAUCGACCCAUUUUUCUCAUAAAGGCACAUAGCUCUAGUGCUCAUGAUAUUAUCUUAUUCCAACAUGGUGAGACCCUAACACCAUGCCCACCCAAAUCAUUCGCAAGCUCUUGUGCCUAGAUCCUAAAGGCAUAACACAGAUGUCGAUCCAUAGCCAACCCGAAUUCACACUAGGCUCGUCUUGUCUCAUGAAACUUGCCUACCUACUAGCCAAGAGAGUGGUAGAGAGUUGACACCAAUCGUCCCCUUAUAAAGAGCAGAAGAGCUUUUCUAGCCAUCUUACCAGGAAUUGUAAGAAUGUCUAAAAUGGGGACACUUUCUCUCCAGCCACCUUAAGGCCUUUUUCAACCAACUCAGGGCCUAGUUACUUUUCUCUUGGCCAUCAUAAUUCUAGUAUUCCACUCGUUGAUCCACUAACCCACUCAAAGGUACCCGUAUAUGGCUUCGACUGAUAGCACUUAACUGGUUAUAUGGCUCUAAGGUGCCCACCUACUGGCUCACACUUGCCUACACAUCUUGGGGCCUAAGGCUUACAUUACCUACACACACUAUCAACAACAUGUUCCUAGGCUUAUAUUGCCUAUGCAUAGCUCUAGGACCACUAUCUAGACCACAAGGGCUCAUUCGUUACUCAGCUUAGAGUUAGUCAUAGCAGGACUAAGGCAUACCAAGGCCUGACCAUGACACUCUCCUCCACUUACUAGGUUGAUACCCUUAUCAAUGGUAAGGCCACACCUAACUCUUUUGUUGCACACUGUUGACAUUUUCAUAUAUGUCUCUCAUUUAUGCCCUUAAGGAUUGGGUCGAGAUCCCAUCACAUGAAGCAUCACCUAUAGUACUCAUUCAUUAUCGAUGUAGAUGAGUCUCAUCCCAACUCCAUUGCACCUUUAUGCUAGUUUUAAAUCUAACCACCAGAUUCUAUCUCAAUUACUUAAUAUGUAUUACUACAUCGCUUAACCCAUGAUCACAUCUUGUUACGACCUCAAGGCACCUUUGUCAUUCAUGAACUUCAGUAGAAUGAAUGACCACUUGCAUUGCCACGCAUUGGUAUGCCCCGCUAGAAGUGACUCAUCACACCAACCACAUGCCUGUGGCACCGACUAUUUGAUGCUCCCCUCUAGAUGUGGUAUUUAGGUCAAUCGCACUCAUAACCACCAAUAAUAGACCCUAGCAUGGUGGCAUUCAAACACUUUGGUCAUCUCACAACUUAGGUCUAUUCGACCCUCUAAGGUCACCUCUCUAGGUAUGGCCCUCUGAAUAAUUACCCUCAUGGCAGCACCUUAAUGCAUGCUAUUCAAACUCAAUCACAUACUCAAUACUCAUAGGCUCCAUUGCCUUGGCUUAAUACCACUAGAAAUCACAAGUUCCCUCACUUUUACUCAAACUCAGCUCAGUUUCGCACGCAGUCAUUUCUCCAUGAUGGUUCCACAACUUAUUUUCCUUGACUCUAGCAUAUCUCAAAGGGUAACUCAAAGCCCACACAAAGCUCAAUGAUCCAUUGAUCCAUCGAUCACACUAUUCAUUGAUUGCUUAAUCUUAGGGUUCACCAACCCACUCGAUACUUAAGUUCCACUGACUUACUCAAACUCAUGGCCAUCAUAUUGGCUAAAAUCUACUAAAAAAAGUUCCAUAUUUGGCUCAAUCCAUCGGCUCAAUUUUGCCUUGCUUAAACUCAUCCAAUCUGCUACCCAUAUUUCACUUGAAUGCCAAUACCAUUGGCUUACUUAACUCAAUUAGUCUUUUGACCCAUACAACUCAAGGCCUUGUCAACUGGCCAAAUUCUCACUUACUUGUUCCACUGAACUAUACACUAUUAUGGUCCAUUGACCACCACAUCUCCUAAGGCCUUCCCUUUCGGCCAACACAAGCACGGUCCACUGAUUGGCACACUCUCGUGAUCCUUUGACCACAAGAACUCAUGGUCCAUUGACCAUCAUCAACUCAUGGCUUCAAUCAUCAACUAACUUAAACUCAUUUACCUUUGUAAAGUGGCUCAACACUUGGAUCCAAAAUAUUUAGCUCGUACCCUCGUUAAGGUACCUACACCACACAACAAGUGCACAUGUUAGUAACUAAUCUCAAUACGCAUAACUUGUGUCCCUAAGGACAGAACUCGCUUCGUCUUACUCAACACCAUUUCAUGGUGUAUGCCUUUUUUGCUUUUCAGUCUCAACAUGGUUUUCCCCUCUAUAAAGUCAUCACAUUCCUACAUGCGCUAACACCUUUUGUUAGCUCUAACUAAACUCCCAUGCCUUUUCACUUGGCAUCUAAAAGUUAACUUAAAGGCCUUCCACCUAGGCUAAUUUUUCUCACAGCACACAUCAAUGGCUCAUUCUCGAGCCCAUAUGGUGGCAUUAUCACAAUCUCAUCUCAAUAGUUCUCAAUGAGCUUUGUAUUAUCUCAAUUUCUUAAUAUCAUGCCUAAACUUAAGGCCAUUUUAGUCCUACUGUUGAGCCAAACUAGGUUCUAAUACCAAAAUGUCAUGGGUCACAUGUUUCUUAGAGUGAAACAAUACAUCCGUGUGACACCAAGACUACUUUUAGUCAAGGUUAACCUUUCUCAAGUCCAUUUCUUCAUGGAUAGAUCAUUUUCGAUCUUUUGAGAUGCAUACUUAUGAGCUUUUCUUGGUUCUAACCUCAUAAGGUCGUACAUUCCCAAAAUUAAUAGGGAGGAACCCAAUUCGCAUUGUUAUAAUCAAUCCAUAAUUCUUAGGGUGGCCCAAGCAACCAUCUUUGCCCACAGGCAUUAAGAUCCCGAGCACCAACUUACCUUGCUUAUAAGGGCACAUCACCUUAGUUCUUAUGAUAUUACCUUAUUAUGGCAUGGUGAGAACCUAACGCCAUGCCUGUCUAAAUCAUCUGUAAGCUUUUGUGCCUAAAACUUGAAAGUACAGCACAGAUGCUAGUCUAUAACUAGCACGAAGCCACACUAGGCUUGUCUUGUCCUAUAAAACUCAUAUAUCUGGGCCUCAAGCCUUAGCCUCAUUCUAGGCUACCUGUACACAUGAUAGACACUGGACAUCAUGCCUAUCCCACCUUAAGGAACUCAAGUGUGCUACCCUAACCAUAACACACCUUUAUCGAUGGGUCACUAGGGGCUAGAAGCGUGCUUACCUACUAGCUCGCUUAUCCCUUAGGCUUAAUGGUGCCCCUCUUACGCAAACACCAUCUCAUGAUCGUUGGUUACUUAUCGAUCUAGCUCAAGAGAAAAAAUUGAGAGGCAUAGUAAAUGUUAUCGUUUAACCCUAUAGUUUAACAUAAAGGCAUGAUACGAGGUUGAUCGGCCCCCACCAUCUUUGGGUUUACCAUGCCCAAGGAGAUACCACGCCACACUCAUUACUUAACAAUGCUUACCCACUUAAACACCACAUGUGCCUAGGAGUAAGUCACUUUAUACUAGCUAGGCCCUCACUUGUCGACUAGCCAAAGGGUUGAAAGAGAGCUGACACUAGUCAUCUCCUUAUAAAGAGCAUAAGAGCUUUCCUAGCCAUUCUACUAGAAACCAUAAAAAUGUUUGAAAUGGGGACACUUUUCUCCCCAGCUACCUCAAGGCCUUUUUUUAACCAAUUUAAAGCCCAAUGACCUUUUUCUUGGCCACUAUAAUUCUAGCAUUUCACUCAUUGCUCCACCAAACCAUUUGAGGGUGCUCACACACAGCUUUGAAUGAUAGCACCCAACUAACGAACUGACUCCAUGGCAUCAACCUAUUGGCUCACACUUACUUAUGCAUCUAAGGGUCUAGGGCUUUUACUACUUGUAUACACUAUCAGCAACAUUUUUUAGGCUUACACUACUCAUGCAAAGCUCCAAGUCCACUAUCUUAACCAUAAGGCCUCAUCCACUAUUCAACUCAGGGUCAGUCAUGGUAGGAUCAAAGCACACUAGGGCUAACCAUGACACCGUGCCUAUGGCUAAUGCUGCCCUAGACCCUAAACCAAGUCCCUAAAUUGGGUAACAACUCCAUAGGAUGGUGCAAGAAGAAGCUAUAAUUGCUAGCUUGGUCUAACUAAGUCUCUAGGGUAUGUGCUAAUCUUAUGGUCCCUUCUUAUCGACCAUAAAAAUGCCUUGGCUUAGCCAAGCCUACACAUACAGUCAAUGCUACCUAAAACCCUAAAAAUAAGUCUUCAAUUUGGGUAAUGUCCCUCUAGAUUGGUGGCAGUGAAGUUUACGUGUGCAGUCUUGGCCAGACCAAGCAUUGGUAGCAUCAUGCCAUUAUUUUUUGUUGGAUGGUAGAGGUAGUCUCAUUGCCCUUGCUUAUGUUUUUCCAGUGUCAAGCGAUUAUGGCAUGGCUUCGUACAUCAUUUCCUCCAUUCACUCUUUGAGUAAUCGAUUGUAGGUCAUGAACUAAUGUAUGUGGAUGCUACCAUUUAUACACAAUGGGCAUAUAAGUGGUGCUAUGGUUGUGCAUAUUGGUAGGCUUCACGCUCGAUGCAUCAAACUAUCAACCUGUCAUCCUCUUCAAUCUCUCUCAUGUGGUCAUCAUACUCUGAGGGUGUAAUCAAGAUCUUGUGCUGCAUACCUAAAUCUAUAAAAACUAAAUAUCUUGCCAUCCCUCAUCCAUUUUAUGUAUUUAAAAGCUACAAGUUGGACCUUAAUAAUGCCCUGUGUCCCAAGUGUGCCACCUAAACCUUUGUGGUCGCAUUGGUGAAUUAGUGUUUGAUAUUGCUCUUGGAUGUAGAACAUUUUACAGGCACAAGCUUUCGACCCUUGUUCAUCCAAUGCUAUGUAGUUUAUGUGCUUGACACACAUGACACUUAUGCUCUGUGUUACCUCUCUCUAUCAUUCAGUCGGUGCAUUAAGGCCCAUGUGGUGCCAAUGUCCUAAAGGAAUGCUACCUGGUUGAUUUUGCUAGUAGUCAUAUGCUUGUCUCAAAGAUUAAGCCAUGCAUGUGUAAAUAUGAACUAAUUAUGAUUGUGAAACUACGAAUGGUUCAUUAAAUCAAUUAUAGUUUGUUUGAUGGUAUGUACUGCUUAGAUAAUCUAGUAAUUCUAGAGCUAAUACGUGCAACAAACCCUAACUUUUAGAAGGGAUACAGUUAUUAAAUAAAAGGUAGAUGCAGGCUUUACUUAUUAUUUCGAUGAUUCAUGAUAACUUGACGGAUCGUAUGGCCUUUGUAUCGAUGUUACAUCAUUCAAAUUUUUGCCCUAUCAACUUUUGAUGAUAGGAUAAUAGCCUUUUAUGGUGGUGAUCGAUGAUGGAGAAUUAGGGUUCAAUUUUGGAUAAAGAGCCUAAGAAACAGCUACCACAUCCAAGAAAGGUAGUAGAUGUGUAAAUUACCCAAUCUUAACAUGAAGAGGUAGUGACAAUAACUAAUAAUACCGAGCUAUAAGAGUCUAGUAAUUAGAAUGAGUAAAAUCUAAAUCCCUUAAUGAAGAUCCAUUUGAGGGCAAGUCUAGUGCUAGCAGCUGUGGUAAUUCCAACUCCAAUAGCAUAUAUUUAAAUUGUUGCAAUUAAAAAGCUCAUAGUUGGAACUAGGUUGGGUCAUUCGAUCUAUCUCAUGGUAAGCACUAAUCUACUCAUACCUACUGCCAGUGAUAUGCUUAUGGCUUUAACUGGUCGGGUCAUUCCUCUAGCACUAUUACUUUGAAAAAAUUAGAGUGCUCAAAGCAGGCUUACGCUUGUAUACAUUAGCAUGGGAUAACAUCAUAGGACUUGUAUUUCAUAGUUAGAGGUGAAAUAAUGAUUAAUCGAAUAGUCGAAGGCAUUUUUAUUUCUUAGUUAAAGGUGAAAUUCUUGGAUUUAUGAAAGAUAAACAACUAUGAAAGCAUUUGCGAAAAAUUUUUUCAUUAAUCAAGAAUGAAAAUUGGAGGCUCAAAGAUGAUCAAAUACUAUCCUAGUCUUAACCAUAAAUGAUGUUAACCAGGGAUCAGCGGAUGUUACUUUUAGGACUCUAUCAAUACCUUAUGAGAAAUCAAAGUCUUUAGGUUCCAAGGGAAGUAUAGUUGUUAGGCUAAAACUUAAAAGAAUUGAUGGAAGGGCACUACCAAGAAUGGAGCUUGUGGCUUAAUUUGACUCAACAUAAAGAAACUUACUAGGUCCAAACAUAGUGAGGAUUAAUAGACUGAUAGCUCUUUCUUGAUUCUAUGGGUGAUGGUGUAUGGCCAUUUUUAGUUAGUAGAGUGAUUUGUUUGGUUAAUUUUGUUAACGAAUGAGACCUCAGCCUACUAACUAGUUAUGCAAAAGUGAUCCUUCAAGGCUAAUGUCUUGGGGGACUAUGGCCACUUAGGCCAAGAAAGUUUAAGGCAAUAAUAGGUCUAUGAUGCCCUUAGAUGUUUUGGGCCGCACGUGCACUACACACAUGUAUUCAACAAGUCUAUAACCUUGGCCGACAAGCUUGGAUAAUCUUUAAAAUUUCAUCAUGAUGGGGAAAGAUCACUACAAUAGUUGGUCUUUAACAAGGAAUUCCUAAUAAGCAUGAAUCAUCAGCUCAUGUUGACUGUGUCCCUAUCCUUUGUGCACACUGCCCAUCACUCUUACUGAUUGAAUAGUUUUAUGAAGUGUUUAGAUUGUGGUGACAUGGAUGGUUCACUGCCCAUGAUGUCAUGAGAAAUCAUUGAACCUUAUCAUUUAGAGGAAUCAGAAGUCAUAACAAGGUUUCUAUAGGUGAACUUACAAAAUGAUCAUUGUCGAAACCUACUCAAUGAAAAACCUAUGAACCAUUAAAAAAACAUUGAGGAGGCGAAAGUGCCUCUAUACCUUGAGCCCCUUCCAACCCUGGAAAGGCAUGAUGGUCAAUUCAUUCUACCUUCAAGAUGGAUGAGAUGAUUAGUAUCAUCGUCGUGGCCAAAUAACAAACCACUAAUGUGAAUACUACUAAGAAAUGAGAAUGAAAAAAAAUGUGUAUGCUGCUGCCAUCCCGUUCGAGGUGCAUGCAUGAGCAGCAUUGUGACUUCUUUUGUCAUGAAAAAAAAAUGACUCUCAAUAAUGGAUAUCUCGACUUUCACAUUAAUGAAAAAUGUAGCAAAAUACGAUACUUGGUGUGAAUUGUAGAAACUCAUGAACCAUCAAGUCUUUGAAUGCAAGUUGCACCCCAAGCCAUUAGGUCGAAGGUAUGUUUGCCUAGGUGUCAUGCAUCAUCACCCCUUCCAACCCCCAACCUAUCUGGCUCUAGGUGAAGAAGGUGAAAAAUGGCCUCUCGUGAUCUCAUCAUUAGUGGUUGGUCCAAAAGUGAGUCUCCAGCAAUGAUAGCACUGUAGUCGUUGGUGGUAAAGCUCCCAACGUGACUCGUCUUCGGUGAUGCAUGCUUAUUGUCCAUCCAGACCUUCUCGAACCCCUUGUAUUGCUCAAUCAACACUCGCAUCAUGACCCCAAGUCAGGUAAGAUCAUCUACUAAGUUUAAAUAUAUCAAUAAGCAGAGGAAAAGAAAUUUACCAAGAUUUCCUUAAUAACAGUGAAUGAAUUGAGAAGAACCCAACUUGAGAAUUUAGUGGCUAUGACAUUCAAAUUGUAGUAUGAAAAAGCAUCCUUAGUGGUGAACCGGGCCUAAGUCCCUUAGAAAGGGGUUUCAAAGAGGGUGAGAGUCCUAUUAUGCUUAAACCUUAUCACAUUAUGAGGCACUAUUUACGAGUUAGGUUGUUUGGAAAUGAAGUUGCAAUUGGGUGAUAAAUUUCAUUCAAGGUUGAAUACGGGUGAGACAUUGAUAGCAAACAAGUACCAUGAGGGAAAGAUGGAAAGGACUUUGAAAAAAGAGUUAAAGAGUGCAUGAAAUUAUCAAGAGAGAAAUGGAUGAAGGCUACCAAUAUGCUCCAAUCAGAUGUGGAAUGAUGAGAGCCAAUCCAUCGAUUAGCUCAGGGCUUGGACAAAUGCAGGUCACAACAGUGGCCCAAGCUUGACUUUUCAAUAUGCUUGUAGAGACAUUGUCUUCAUGAUCAUGGAAUGUAGCACAUGUUAUCUCGACAUGCCUCAGCACUCAUGUACUCUGAGUGUCAACUUAUGGGCUUCCCAUCUGGUCUAUCUUGAAACACUCACCAAGAAGUCUGACAUAUGUGUGAGCCAAUGACCUAGAAAACUCAUAAGGCACGAGGAAACUUAUUGGUGAAAUCCCUUGUUAGUGCACCGUAGAUUGACCUUGAUCUUUUGAGAAUGAUUUGAGUGUAAGCAUGCCUGUCGAGACCUAAAAGAUAGUGAAUUAUGCCUAAGUAAGGCAAAGCUAGAGGAAAAUUUUGGUGGAAGCCUACAAUGAUAUUGACAUGCAAAUCAUUCAUCUGACUUGGGUAUAGUAGCAAAAGACUUAUCAAAUCAUCUAGUAGCUAGUUCCUUUUGAAGUUUCCCUUAGGAUAGCUAGAGCCCUUAGCGAGUUCUAUCAGGUAAACCUAAUGAUUAAAGGCAUUGAAGGCACAAUGCCCUUGACCAAUUCUUAAACUUUAAGUAGGUAGGACGACGUGACUGCUCUGUUGAGCCAUGCCACAGAAUCAAAAGCUCUAAAUGGGCCAUUUUUAGUAAGCAAAACUGACGAUGCAGGAUAAACUAAAAGUAAGGUUACAAUGCCAAACUACAUGUUAACCUAGAACCCAUAAAAGGGUGUUGAUUGAUUAAGACAGUAAGAAAGUGGGCAUGGAAGAUAAAAUCUACUAAAGAGUGUGUAACAACUCACCUACCAAAUCAAUUAGCUUUAAAAAUGGAUGGUGCUUAAGCACAUAACCUAUACUUGAUUGUCAAGGGAAGGGCCAGGGCCUGAUAAAUAGAAAGGUAUGGUGAUCACUGCAAAACCUAGGGUGCAAGCUUGGGUGGAAUGGUCAUUGGUGCAGAUCUUGGUGGUAGUAGUAAAUAUUCAAAUAAGAACUUUGAAGGUGAAAGAGGGGAAAGGUUUCAUGUGAAUGGCACUUGCAUAUAGGUUAGUUGAUCUUUAAAGACAAGGAAAGCCAUUCGAUAGCACAUUCAGAACAAGCUUAAAAAAAUCAAGUUAAAAUUCUUAAACUAGGAUGUGAUGACUGAUGGAAAUGUUAAAGAGUCUAAAGACAUCAACGAAGGCCUCGAAAAGAGUUAUUUUUUUGUUUAAUAGCUUACCCCUCUUGGAAACAACUUAGCCAAAGGUCGGGUCCAGUGGUCAGAAAAACAUCGCACAUCACAUGGUGUCUAGUACGCCCCUAAUGUCCCUUAAAAAUCCAAAGGAUCAAGUCUAGUCUACUCAUAAUAGCAUCAGGUUUUUAAGGUGAGCAACCUCUAGUCGAUGGAAUAAUAUACGGAAGGAAAGUCGAUAAAAUUGAUCUAUAACCUAGAGAAAAAGAUUGGCUUUGAGGGUUGGGCAUGGGGAUCCAAAUUUCCAACCCAUUGGCUGUCGGUGCACUACUCGAGCUAUUCCCACAACAAAAAUAAGCCACCGUGUGUUAGUCGAGGGAUGGACUGGGAAUAACUCCCUUAGAGGCCUUCCCCAAGUGAUGAACAAUCAACUCAAAAUUGGUAUAGACAAGGGAAAUCCAACUGUUUAAUUAAAACAAAGCAUUACGAUGGUCCUUACGGGUGCUCAUGCAAUGUGUUUCAACCCAGUGCUCAGAAUGUUAAAGUGUAAUCCCCAGAGUUUAGGCAUGUAUCUCAGGUACUCAUUGUAAAAGGGGCUCAACUAUAAAUAGAGAGUCCUCUACCUUCAUAGUACACACAGACCAGAACCAUUGAGUAACAAUGUCCUUACUUUUACCUUAAACUUUAUGUUGUUCUUUUAUUAGCCUUUAUUCUAGCAUUUGCUAUGCCUUUUCAUUUUAUAGUGUACUGGGAGGCCAAGCCUCACAGUUUAGAGCAUCCAUGCACUAUUUCUUGUGUUAGGCUGAUUUGGGAUGUCAAAAAGUCCAUUCUCAUGUCCUGGAGUUGCACGAGCUUGGAGCUUGAGUCUCAGCCCUUGACAAGUGGCAUGAGAGCCUUGUUCGAAGUAGGCCAUAGAGUUUAAUACCAAGCGAUAUUAGAACCUGGCUCAAGGGAGCUUGAAGUAGGUGGUAGAACCAAAUACCAUGAGGUAUCAAAGCUUUGAUCAGACCAGAAGUGGUAACUAAAGCUUGGGUAUAGAGUGUGCAACAGAUCCAUGCUCAUGACAAAAGUAGUUAAGGUUACCAUGAAAGCCAAAGUUGGUGUGGGGAGCCACAAUUGGCCCCAAUGCAGGUUAGGGGACUUGCAUGGUGGCAUCUUAGUGUGAAACAUAGGCAUCCUAGUAUGGUGUGCAGACAUUUGACUGUAUGGUGUGGGUAAUUUACUAUAUAAUGUAUGCAUUUUAAAAAGGCUAUUGUACUUAUGUAUCGGUGAAACACUCCUAAGGUGCUAGGUGCAGCCAUGUUAGAGUGUAGGAUAGGUGCUCGACAAAUUAUGCUAUGUGUUAUGCUAGUGUGCUAUGUUGACAAACUGGUGUGCUAGUUGGCAGGAUUUAGAACCAGAUUACUUGAGUGUCUACUAGUGUUGAGGUAAUCCUUUUGUUUAUGCAUUUAUGGUCUAACACUUUUUGUGUUAUGGGCUAUGUCAUGAGUAGGAAAAACCAGACAAGAGGCCAAAGUGAGAUGCUUGAGGAGUGCCCAUCUAUAGACAAGUGGAAAAAGGCUUUAGCAGGAUAUGUGUCAACAAGCACUUAAUUAACGAAAUGUGAAGAGGCUAUUCUACAAAUAAAGAUCAAUUCAUGAACAUUAAGGGAUCCUUAAAUAAAGCAAUAGAGAAGCUCAUGCAGCAUAAUAAGGUAUUAGAGUCCAUGGUAACAACCUUACGAGAAUAGCUAGCUAGACUCAAAGUUGACCAUGCUACAUUAUGAGCUACUGUGGCUAUUGGUACGAGCUUGGGAUCGAGAGUGGAGAUGCCUAAGCAUUUCAUUAAUGGAUUAAAGCUAUAGGUAAUGGCCAAGUUACAAUAAAGAGGUAUGUAAGAGUCGAGUCAGGCUAGAGUUGCUAUGAAAUCAUUGACUCAAAUUGAGAGCACUUGUCUCCAAGGCUGAAGAGAAAUGGCCAAAGUGGGAGAAACACCAGUAUUUGUUCUUUAGGGGAGGAAAGGGCUAUAAGAAAGCCCAGAUUUUAUAAAAUCAAUAGAAUCAUUAGCAAGAGUAAGGGGAAAAAACCUCUAAGUUACUAUUUUUGUGCCUGUCCAUAUCAGGUCAAAGAAUGCCUGAAACUUUCAGUUAUCAAGCGAGCAAAGGGGUUAUCUAAAGGUAAGAAUGACAGGGUAAACAACACCAAAAAAAGCCUAAAGAAGAGUGGCCAAUCGCUAGUCAAGACUAUUAAGAGGUUGGAACCUCUUAAAAAGUUGAUGAAGAGAAACUAGUGGUAACUAAGUGCCACAACAUGAGUCCUAUAGUGCAACCAAAUUCCUCACAAGAGAGUGCCCCAUGGGUAACUCAAAAAAAGCACAAGAAGCAUCGAUAGCAUGGGCAAAAGAGACCAUUACAUUAGAGUGUUAGGGAACAUAUGAUCAAAAAUAACGAAAGCUAGCAAAGUACAUGUUCAAGUAUAGGACUAAAAUGUUGGAAAACUAGUUCACAGGGUAAAAGUUAAAAUUGACAUAUAAGGUGGACUCAUCAUUCCCUUAGCAAUAAAGGCAUUGCUAGAAUGAGUGGGGGAGAAUAUCAUGAUCCAUAAGCUGGUACAUGCCUAGGGGUUUUCUUUGAAUCAAGUGAUUGGUCCAAUUCUAGUAGGACAAAAUAAGGGUGGAGGAAUAGUUUAUGGUUUUUUUAGCUUUCCAUCAAACAAUUUAUAUACAACCUUAUCUAGUAGCAGUUUGGGGUAGCUGGCCUUAAAGUUUUGAGUGUCUACAUACAAGUCCAGUUGAAGGCUAAUUUAAGACGUCAGAUGAGUCAAUUCUUAGGCUUUGGAGUCGCAUGAGUUGGAGCUUGAGUCUCAGCCCAUGACAAGUGGUAUCAAAGUAAGUUUGAAGUUGGCUCAGAGUUGACAAAAGCUGGUCCAUAGAAAGUGAUAGUAUUGGGUGUUGUUGGAACCAGAGUUAGCCUCAGAGGAAGUUUCAGACAUAUUAGUGUGAGCAUUCAUUCAUGUGGUGCAAGCAUCCUAGGCCGUUUCUAUGCUUGUGUAUUAGUGAUACACCCCUGAAGGUGCGGGCGUACAGGAGUGUAGAAUAGGUAUUUGAUUGAUUGUUGCUAAGCAUACUAUGUAGAUGUGUAGACUACUACCUAACCAAAAGUGCAGGGUGUAUUGAGCCAAUAUGUAGAUUGGUGCCUAAUAAUGUGUGUGCUGGUGUGCUGUACCAAUAGACAUGUGUUUUAGUUCAUGAAGACUAAGAUUAGAUCAUUGAAGUGUGUAAAAGGUUGAGGUAAUAUUUUUGGUUUUAUGCAUUUGUGACUGACAAAGUGUUUAGGGCCAUGGCAUGGCUAGGUAAACCAAAUAGAAAGCCAAACCAAAGGCCUUAAUAAGUGCCCAAAUGCCUUGAUGAGUGCCUAUCUUUAGGCAUAAUGAAGGAGGCUGGAUCGAGAAGCACGGUGAUAUCCUUGGAUACCUAACUGUAAAAGUAUGAGGUGACCAUUAUGAUUUGAGGGACAAGUUUAAGGACAAGCAAAGAUCCUUGAAUGAGGCAUUAGAGGUGAUCAUACAGUGGAAUGAGAUAUUAGAGACCAUGGUGUCAACCUUGCAAGAGGAGCUAGUGAGGUCAGGGUUAAUUACGCUACGUUACGAGUUACCAUAGUUACUAGUAUCAGCUUAGGACCUAAGGUGGUAGUGCCUAAGCAUUUCUUAGAUGGUCAAAAGCUAAGGGUAAAUAUUGUGUUAUAAUAGAGUGGCAUGUAAAAGUCAAGUGGGGCUAGUGUUAUUACAGAAUCGAAGACUUAAGUUGAGUGCACCAAGUCUCUAAGGCCUAGAGAAAUAACCAGAGUGGUAGAGAUAUCGAUGUUUAUUCCUCAAAGGAAUAAGAGGCUAUGGGAAAGCCCAGAUUUUGCAAGGCUAAUAGUGCUAUCAAUAGGGGCAAGGAGAAAACAAAUUUGAGUUACUUUUUAUGUGGCAGUCAGCAUAGGGUCAAGAAGUGCCCAAGGCAUGCAAGGCUUUCAACCAUCAACAGGGUAAAAAAACUAUCCGUAGGUAAGAAUAGUAACAGUGAUAAGCAUUAAAAGGAGCCAAGGUAAUGCAGCUCAAUACUUUUUAAUUCUAUAGUGAAGGUAUAACCUUUACAGGAGAUGAGGGCAAAUGACAAUAGAGUGCUACAGCAUAAGCUCAAGAUGUAAUUAGAUAAAAAAAAAAGUGCAUAGAGUAACUUAAAGGAAAUAGAAGAAACAUCGAGUGUGCAAGCAAAAAGGAUAAGUGUAGCAUGGGGCUAGUGAUACUAAAAAAAAUGAUCAGUAGAAUACUUGUUUAGGUAUGGGAUAAACACAUGGGAAAUCUAGUUUGAAGGGCAGAAGAUGAAGCCAAAAGGCAUAGGGACAUGCAGUCUAGGCAUAACAUCGCUCUAGCAAUGAGGGUGUUGCUAUAAUGAGUGAGAAGGAAUGUCAUGGUCCAUGGGAAAAACCAAACCUAAAGGUUCUCACCGAGAUAGAGAACGGUUCUAAGGCAAUUGGGACUAAGUUAGGAUACAAGAGAAACUAAGCCUAAAGGCACAAGCCUAAAGCCCAGAAUGGGUGCGUAAAUGCUAAAAUGAGCUCAGGCUAGGGGAUUUGGUUUGGUAAUUUUCAGAUAGACCUAGGAGCAAAAGCAAGAGUUAGCACAAGCAUGGGCAGAAUUGAUUAGGCAUGGGCCUAGAAAGGGGCCUCAAGUGGGCACUAUUCAAGAAAAAGUCUAAGGUGGUUCAUACUCUUUUCUGAUAGAGUCCAUGUAAAAUUAAAACUAUUCAUUGUAAUCCUAUUGUUAUCUCCUCUAUAUAUUGGACUCUUUGUAAGCCCUAUGAUAGGAACAAAGUCAGCCAUUGAUUCAAAGAGGCCUUAGCUAUAUAUAGAGGGUGCCCCUACCUUCAUUGUACACAUUUGACUUUUUUUUUAAUUUAUCUAUGACCACAGUCUGUAUGCUUUUUGUAAGAGGUUAUUGGAUCUAUAUUCUUUAUUGGUGCUGUAGGCUCAUUUUUUGGGGUCCUUCUUUACCAAAAUUUGUUGGAAAACCAUCCUUUUUGUGAUAUACUUUUCUUGGCCCUUUGUAGAUAGGGGCUUGCACAUUUAAUGUAAAAUUUUAGAUUAUGGAUAUCUCUUUUUCUUAUAGUUAUUUGUUAGGCUAGCCAUAGAUUCACAUGGUAGGUGUUGUCCCUCUUCCUGAUGCCAAAAAGUCAAGUUUAAUGUGAAGGGUCAAUUUGUGAUUGUGGCUAAAAAAAAAGAUUUAUUGGUGACUCAACCUAUGAAUGCUCCCUCUGUAAAGCUACAAAAGAAUCAUUAGAGUGUUCUUAUCUAUCCUUCGAGCUUGUCAAUACUGUUGAUGAAGGAUCUAAAUUAUACCAACUAGAUUUCACUAAGAUCAUGGUCGAUUAGAUUAUUAAUAAAGUUUGGUAUCCUAAAGCUAGGCUAGGUAAAAAUCUACAAGGAAUAAAAAAGCCAUAAAUAAUAAUAGACAACAGGGAAAGACUGGGCUUAGGAUAUAAGGUUAAGGAAUAGGAAAUAAAGAGAAAAUGAGAAAACAAAAAAGGAAAAAGGAUGGCAAAAAAUGUGUUAUUGGCCAUUCUAUACUUGUAUGAAACCUUUAGGCUAUGAGGAUAUAUGUAUCUAAAAUCAAAGGAAGUUGCUCAAAAGGAACUGAGAAUGGAAUAAGCUUUUGUUGAACUAUCAAUCCAGAUGAUAAGUGCAAAGGAUGAAAGUGGCAAAAAAGAAGAGGUGUUGGUCCAUCUAUGUUUGCCAAGCUUUAAGUUGAAGAAUUGAAGUAUCAUUGAGAUACUUGCUAUCUUUGAUACCCAUCUAAUGUAAUUAUAACUCCCAUUUGCUUAUGCCCAAAAGCAUUAGAAUGGUCUUUCCUGUAUGGGCCACCUAUCAUUUAUUAUUUCAAUAAAAGAGUAGGAGUAUAUAUUUUCAUUAAUUUCUUCUAUUAUUUUCAAUUUCCAUUUUCCUUCCAAUUAAAGUAUUUCACCAAUACUUCCUAUUUCAUUUAAUUCAAGUUUUUAAAUGAAUAUAAAGAUAAUCAUGAUAACAAUCAGGGAUUUAAUUUGGAAAUUUAAUUAAUGCUAAUGAACUUGGCAAUGAAGAUGAUUAUGAAGAAUACACUUUACCUCUAAAUGUAAUGAGAUUGAUUGAAUAGGAGAAUAAAUCUAUUGAGCCUCAUCAGGAAGUCAUUGAGAUGACAAAUUUAGGGGAUGAUGAGAAUAAAAAGGAAAUUAAGGCCGGUACAUCACUCCCAUUGGCCUAUAGACAAAAGUUAGAAGAUUUGCUUCGAGAAUUUGUGGAUGUGUUUACUAGGUCCUAUUAGGAUAUGCUCGAGCUUAGCACUAAAAUAUUGGAGCAUAGGUUACUCUUGAAGCUAGAAUGUAGGCUAGUCCAAUAGAAGUUGAGAUGGAUGAAGCCUGAAAUGAUAUUGAAGAUUAGAAAAAAGGUAAGAAAGUAGUUUGUUGCAAGCUUUCUGCAAGUAGCCAAAUAUUCAUAGUGGGUAGCUAACCUAGUACUUGUCUCAAAAAAAGAUGGAAAGGUAUACAUGUGCAUUAAUUAUUCCAAAAGAUAAUUUUCCUUUACCAUAUAUUGAUACAUUAGUAGAUAAUACGACUAGGCACUAUUUGUUUUUUUCGUGGAUGGAUUCUUGGGAUAUAAUUAGAUAAAGAUGGGCCAAGAUGAUGUGAAAAAAUCACUUUUAUAACCAUGUAAAGUACCUUUUGUUAUAAGGUUAUGCCUUCUAGUUUGAAGAAUCCUGGGGCAACUUAUCAAAAGGCCAAGGUGACACUCUUUCAUGAUAUGAUGCAUAAGGAGAUUGAAGUGUAUAUGGAUGAUAUAAUCACAAAAUCUCAUAAUGGAAAAGACCAUGUAGCUAACCUCAAAAAGUUGUUUGAGAGGUUAAAAAAGUUCUAGCUCAAGUUAAAUCCAUCCAAAUGUACAUUUGGAGCUAAGUUAGGGAAAUUGCUAAGCUUCAUGGUUAGUGAAAAAGGGAUUGAAGUUGAUCUAGACAAGAUACAUGCAAUCUAGAAUCUAUCUCUUCCAAGCAUGCUGAAAGAAGUCCAAGGUUUUUUUAACAGACUAAAUUACAUCUCUCAAUUCAUUUUCCAACUUACCUCUAAAUGCGAUCCCAUCUUUAAGCUCUUUUAAAAGAAUAAUCCUAGUGAGUGGAAUAAGAAUUUCAAGAUGCUUUUGAUAAAGUUAAACAGUAUUUGUCAAAUCCUCUAGUGUUGGUACCAUCUAUUUUAGAAAAACCGUUAAUUCUAUAUUUGACUAUACAUGAAAAGUGAAUGAGGUAUGUGGUUGGGCAACAAGAAGAGUUGGGAAACAAAGAAAGAGCUAUUUAUUACCUGAGUAAGAAAUUUAUAGAAUAUGAGUCCAAGUAUUUAUCAUUGGAGAAAAUGUGUUGUGCUUUGGUUGGGAUAGCUAAAAGACUUAGACAAUGUAUUCUCUAUCAUACCACUUAGCUUAUAACAAAAUUAGAUCCAAUCAAGUACAUUUUUAAAAAGCCUUCAUUGUCAGAAAGAAUUGCAAGGUGGUAGGUGAUGCUUUUAGAGUAUAAUACUAUAUAUGUAAGCUAAAAGGCGAUCAAAGGAAGUGUCAUAGUAGAAUUUCUUGCAAAUUAUGCUACUAAAAGCUAUGAGCCAAUAAGACUUGAUUUUUUGGAUGAAGAUUUAAUGGUAAUUUUUUAGUUAGAAGAUGAAGAUGAUAAGGAGAAAUCUUGGAAGAUGUACUUUGAAGGAGUUGUUGAUGCUUUGAGGCAUGGAAUUGGUGCAAUUCUGAUAUCUCCUAAAAGACAUUAUUAUCCCUUUAUAGCAAAGUUAGACUUCAAUUGCACUAAUAAUGUGACCAAAUAUGAAUCUUGUGUCAUGUGUUUACAAGUUGCUUUGGACAGAAAGAUUAAGGUAGUGAAGGUGUUCGAGGAUUCAACUUUGGUCAUCUAUUAAUUGAAGGAAGAAUGGGAGACAAAAAGAUUAAAAAAUUAUCACAUAUUAUAAGUACAUCUUAGAGUUGCUAAACAGUUCAAAGCAGUCUAAUUUGAACAUUAGCCCCAUGAAGAGAAUAAGAUUACAGAUGCUCUGACUACUCUGGCCACAAUGAUCCAAGUGUUAAGAAUACUAAAAUUUAGCAAUUAAGUUAGAUAUCAAAUAUAUACAGGUACAUUGCACCAAUGUGGAAAAAGAGAAAGAUAGAAAGCCCUAGUAUUAUGAUAACUUACAUAUUUUAGGAAUCAACAAUAUCUAGACCAAGUGACAAAAAAUGAUAAAAGAGUCCUAAGGAGAUUGUUUAUGAGACUUUUUCGAGAUGGUAAUGUUCUUUACAAGAGAAGCCUAGAUCAUGUGCUACUAUGAUGUGACUAAGGCAACAAAGAUUAUUAAAGAUAUACAUGAUGAAGUAUGCGAGGCACUUGCCAGCGAACAUAUGAUGGCAAGAUAGAUUAUGAAAGUUGGGUAUUAUUGGUUAAUAAUGGAGAAUGCAUGCAUCAAUUAUGCUUAAAAGUGCACUAUUUACAUGUUUUGGGAUCACCUUGGCCAUUUUUUAGGUUAGGCAUGGAUGUUAUUAGACCCAUUACUCUUAAGGCAUCAAAUAAGAAUAGAUUCAUUUUUGUGAUGAUCGAUUACUUCACAAAAUGGGUUAAGGUAGUCUCAUAUGCAAAUAUGACAUGAUUAGUAAUCUGUAAGUUUAUAAAGAGAGAAAAAAUUUAUAGAUAUGGACUCUUAGAAAGGGUCAUCUCGGAUAAUGUUAAAAACUUAAAUAGCAAGAUGAUAAAAGAGAUAUGUGCUUAAAUUAAAAUUAAGCACCAUAACUCAACACUAUAUCACCCAAAGGUGAAUGAAGCAAUAAAAGCUGCAAAUAAGAAUAUCAAAAGGAUUCUUGAGAAAAUGAUUGAGACUUAUAAAGAUUGGCAUGGGAAAAUGCCUUUUGUUUUACAUGCUUAUCAAAUGUCAAUACACACCUCUAUUGGGGCAACCUUAUUUUCCUUGGUUUAUGGGAUGAAGGUUGUACUGCUUGUAGAAGUAAAAAUCACAUCUUUAAAAGUCUUAAAGAAAGUAGGAUUAGAAGAAGCCAAAUAGAUUCAAUAGCACUAUAAGCAACUAAAUUUCAUUGAAAAAAAGAGGCUGGCAGUAUUGUGUCAUAGUCAAUUAUAUCAUAGAAGAAUGAUGAGAGCUCAUGACAAGAAAGUCUAACCUCAUUAAUUUUGAAAUUGAGAGUUGAUGUUGAAAAGAAUUCUUCCAAAUCAACAUGAUAACAGGGGAAAGUGGACCAAAAAUUGGGAAAUGCUAUAUGUUGUUAAAAAGGCAUUUUCGGGUGAAACAUUAAUUUUAAUAAAGAUGGAUGGAGAUGAACUUCCUAAUCCUAUAACUUUUGAUGCUGUGAAAAAGUGCUUUACUUAAAAAAAAACAACAACAACAAUAAAAAGGAAAGCUCAAAUUGAAAUCACAGAAGGGCAAUUUGAAACAAAAGAGGGUUUAUCGAAGUUGAAAACUUGUAAAAGCAACUUGGAUAAAGAGAGUACAGCAUCAUUUGGAAGGUUCACAAACAUGAAAGCUGGUGUAUUUUGAAGAGCUCUGAAGUGCUAAAGGCAUUGUAUGGUUGAGCUUUGAGAAGAUUUUGCGAUAUGUUGACAUGAUUAUCUGAUUGUGUAUUUUAGGGCAUUGUUAUCCCAAACAACCAAUUUUGUAUACCUUUACUUUGUCUAGUAGCAAAAAUUUCUCCCACAUAGCCAUCAUUUAUAAUCUAGCUUCUUUUCUAAAUAAAAGACAUUCAUUUCUUUCUAUUAUCUAUAUUUUAUUUUCAAUCCUUACCUUUUUUUUCCAUUUACAUGCCUUGUAAUGAAUAGAUGAUAUGUAUGAUUUGCAUCUUAUACAUCUUGAAAUUGGGAUAAUGAUUGAUAAUUGAGUAACUUCAUGAAAGGAUGUACAUUACUUUGGGGAAGUUGAGAGAGACGAAGGCAAAAGAUGAAACCUUCAAGGCUUGAUUCUAAAAAAAAAAUAAAGAAAAUUGCCCUAAAGAAAAAGGUGGGUGCCUAUUUUAAACAAUAAAGAAUAAAAUUGAUUUUGUUCCCAUUACUGCAAACUUGAAAAGUUUAGGAUUCAAAAGAAAGAGUCCUAAGAAUUUGUAUACCAUAAUUGAAAAUUCAUUAAUUAUCAUUUGCAUUGCAUAUAUUGCAUAUAAGGAAAUCUAUUGCAUUUAUUUAAAACGAGGAUAUCACAAAAUCCAACAUGGAGAAUACAAGUGCAAAGACUUCAAAUUCUCAAUGUAGAAAAAACUUCUGAGGUAAGAUUUUUAAGAAAGAGUUUUCUUUAAAAUACCUAUGACUAGAGGACCCGUUUCCUAUUUUAAAAUAUUUGAGCCUCUAGUUAGAGGAUUCUAUUUUAAAGUUGUUUAGCCUCUGUACAGAAGAGCUCAUUUUUUAUUUAAAGUUGUUUAGUCUUUGUAUAAAGGAAGCCCAUUUCUUAUUUAAAGUUGUUUAUCCUCUAUAUAGCGAAGCUCAUUUCUUAAUUUAAAGUUUCUUAAUUUAAAGUUGUUUAGCCUCUGUACAGAGGAUUUAAUUUAAAGUUGUUUUACCUCUGUAUAGAGGAGUCCACUUUGUAGAGCUUAUAUUUAGAGGAGUUAUUUGAAAAUUUUAAGUUUUAUGCCUCUGUUUAGAGGAAUUCUUUAAAAUUUUUCAAACACUGUUGCCUUUAUUUAUAAGAUUCCUUAAAAUUGCUUGAGUUGAACUAGACACAAUAAUUGUUUAUGUCUUUGCAUCAUUUCUGUUUCACAGAACUAUGCAAAGAGGGGCAACUGUAGACACCCUAUUCCAUCCAAGGCUUUAAAUCAAAUGCUUAGCUUGUUCAAGUUUAAGCAUGUUUGGAUAAUUAGGCCAUUGAAAUAUUUAUUGGAUUUCAAAUGGACCCAUUCAAUGGGUAUUUGGGCUUUAGGCCCAAGAGAUAAUUUUUAGGUUUUAGGUUUAAUAGGUGGCUUUAUUGGUUUUUCCAUUUAGGUUCGGUCUUUAGCCCAACAGUGUUUUUUUUUUAUUAAUAAUUUUUUUGUUUUUAUUUUAAUAAAAAUUAAAUAAAAAUAAAACAAGAAGGAAAGAAAAUUAAAACAAAUUCUUACGAUCCCAUUUCAGAAAUCAAAUCAAGUAGAAUCAUGGAUUUUAUAAAGGAAAUAAUGGUAGAUUUUUUGAUUGAAUGAUUUUGGGAAAGUCAUAAAUUAAAUCCAGAUUACAAAGGAUCAAAUCAUCCCCAAUUCAAGGGUUCAAUCCAAUUAUUUCUUCCAAAAUUAAAGGAAUUGAAUCCUAUAUAAAUUGUUCUAACAUAAACAAAUGGGGAAUGGAGGAAAAAGAAUAUGAAAAUUUUACAAGUAGUUAGGGUUUUGUUUUUGUUAUAUGUUUGCUAGGUUUCUCAAUUUUGGGUUUUUUUAGGCUUUUAGUUUUUUUUUGUUUUUUUGAAGUCUGGGAUUUUAGGAUUGGCUAAUUUGAAUAUGACUUGAAUUUAAUGUUUUUUGGAAGUUUUUUGGACUUUGUUGGAAAUUUGGGUUUUUCUAGGUUUUAUGAAUUUUUCGAUUAAAGUUUUUGUCACAUGUUGAAUUUCCUAGUGAGAUACUCUAGUUCCCAGCCAUUGAAUUCUCUUUUAGAGAGAGAAGCAACAAAAAACCAAAGGGUAAACAGAGAAUGGAGAUUUGAAAACUGAAGAAAAAAAGAACUUUUUUUUGCCUUUAAGGUGAGCCAAAAUGCACCAUUUCAUUAAAAGAGGAUCCACGUGUUUCUUUAAAUAUGAACCAAUACUCAUGCAACUCAGUUUCAACCCACAUUCCAUUUCUGCUCUAAGUUGAGUCGCACCAGUUGGAGUCACUUGCUAUGUCUAAAGCCGCAUAUUCAAGCCAAGUCGAGCCAAACUUAGGUAAUUUAUUUUAUUUAUUCUACUUAUUUUAUUUAUUUAUUCCCUUAUUUGUUUAUGUAUUUAUUUUUUAAAAUAAUUUUAAAAACAUAUUUAAACAAAAAGACCUUACCAACAUUUUGGAGGGCUAAUGUUUUAUUUUCAAAAAUAAGGUUUUACAACAUAUUAUAGAACCUUUUGAGUUUUUUGUUUUUUUAAAUUUUACCAACAAAUUGAAGGCUAAUGUUUUAUCUUCAAAAAUAAGGUUUUACCAACAUAUUGGAAACCUUAUAAUUUUUUAAUAAAAAUCAAGUUCGAAAAACAAAAAAAAAUUAUAAAAUCUUACCAAUAAAUUAGAGGAUAAUUUUUGAAAGAAAAUCUUACCAAUGUAUUAGAGGAUAUUUCUGACACUAAACCAUGUUUAUAGAAAUUUAUUACCACAAGAAAAAUAAAAUUUAUUAGACAACAAAGCCUCUUCAAAGCGUGAUAAAUAGUCUCAUUGAAUACUCUUGAGGUGAGAAAAUAUUAUUAAAUUAUUACCAACAAAUUGGAGUAAUUUAAGCAAAAUUUCCAAUAUUGAAAUUAUUUGGUAAAUUACAAAUAUGUUUUAAGGAUUGGAUAACUUAAAAUCAAAUUGGUACCAUCAUAUGGAUGGGUGCUAUGAGGAUGCUAUAACCUUUCUCAUGCGUAACUGUCUCUUAAACCUAAAAUCUGGUUUCGUGGACUAGAAUUUACCUUUUAAAUUUACACAAAUCAAGUUUGGGAUCUCUUUUUAAAAAAAGAUAUAUUUAAUUAGGUGGCUAAUCACACCUAGGUAAAAAAAUGAUUGGUGGCGACUCCAUGAUUUUUAUAUCUAAUAGAUAGGUUCUCCCAACCUAAACAUUAUGACACUACUACAAAUACAUCAUAUGAUUGUUAGGAGCAUUGUUGCCCAUUGGCAACAAUGUUAUUUGAGUCUCAUUGGGUUCUAGUGCUUGACAGGGGCAGUGUUCUAUAUGGAAAUCUUAAUUUGAUGACCCAAGAAGGCUACCUCACCACUCUCAUGGAAUGAGGGUCAACACUUCUACUUCCUUGUCUAAACCUUCACUUCCAAAGAUGGUGUCCCCAAUGCCAGAGGACACAUUCUUGGUGGUAGUAGUGCCAUAAAUGCCAGCUUUUAUAGUUGACCAUUAAAUCUAUUAGAAAUCAAGUGCCAAUUGGGACCAAAAAGUAGUGAAUUAAGUCAUGCUACUUUGAAAUUCAAUUGUGUUUUUCAUAACAGUUUAAGGGAAUGGUUUACUUUGAGACAUACUUCAUUUGCUUCGCUUUUCUUUUUUUGACACAUUUUGUAUGGUGUUAGAAUCUUGUUCGAAGAUGUUUUUGCUAGUAGUGACCCAAAUUUAGAUGUUCAAGUCUAAUUUUGAGCAUUCCAAACAUAAAUUAAAUAUGAAUUGUAAGGAUUCAAGAGGCUCAUAGAGAAAAAAAUUAGCUAUGCCUAACAUGUGAAAUAGGUGCAUAAGGUUGUUGUGUUAAGCCUGGAAUAUAAUCAUGAAGUUGAAAGCUCCAAAGAUUCCUAAAAGCAUACCAUCAGAAAAACUUCCUUAACCGAUUGGAUAGAUCAAGAAAACAGCAGUAGCAGCUGCAACAGGAGCUGAGUAUGCAACAGCGAUCCAAGGGCGCAUACCCAGACGGAAACUAAGUUCCCACUCACGACCCAUGUAACAAGCUACACCAAGUAAGAAGUGUAAAACAAUUAACUCAUAAGGACCAAUUUUCCUUUCAGAUGUAUAUUAUUUUUGUGAUUUUGUUGUUUAUUUUACUUAGACGAUUUCUUUUUUUGAUAUUAUUUUUAUUCAUUUUUUUAUUUAUCACACAUUUCUUAAUUAAUUUUUUUCAAUAUUUUGAUCUAGACCAUAGUUUAGUAAAGAUAUGUCAGUAAUUCUCUUAUUCUUUAAUCUAUCAUUCAAUAUCAUAGUUUUAUAUUCUUCCAAAAAAUCAAAAUUAUAUUUAUACACAAUUCUUUUUUA